UGAAAUUGUGUCCUGCGGUGUCGGUCUACCGAAUGCGGUACGACAGGCACGUCUGCGGGGCUUCUCGCCGGUGCGUCCACCGCCGGCGUGCGUCGGUCGGCCUCACGGUCGGCCGCGCACCGAGGCGGGCCGUCGCGGCUGUUUACUUUGAACAAAUUAGAGUGCUCAAAGCGGGCUAACACUUGCCUGAAUAUUGUACGCAUGGAAUAAUAGAAUAGGACCUCGGUUCUGUUUUGUUGGCUUUCUGAUACCAGAGGUAAUGAUUAAUAGGGACGACUGGGGGCAUUCGUAUUGAGACGUUAGAGGUGAAAUUCUUGGAUCGUCGCAAGACGGACUAAAGCGAAAGCAUUUGCCAAAGGUGUUUUCAUUAAUCAAGAACGAAAGUUAGAGGUUCGAAGGCGAUUAGAUACCGCUGUAGUUCUAACCAUAAAUGAUGCCAGCCAGCGAUCCGCCGAAGUUUCAUAAUUUUAACCCGGUGGGCAGCUCCCGGGAAACCAAAGCUUUCGGGCUCCGGGGGGAGUAUGGUUGCAAAGCUAAACU
This 540-nucleotide ribosomal RNA is filed under the name Nothopsyche longicornis. RNAcentral's name for it is "SSU rRNA". It matches the Rfam family "Eukaryotic small subunit ribosomal RNA", at positions 636 to 1144 of the family's 1831-position model. The record is from RNAcentral. Lineage: Eukaryota; Metazoa; Arthropoda; Insecta; Trichoptera; Limnephilidae.